CUCGUAGGUGGCCAACUAAGUCAGACGUGAAAUCCCUCGGCUUAACCGGGGAACUGCGUCUGAUACUGGAUGGCUUGAGUUCGGGAGAGGGAUGCGGAAUUCCAGGUGUAGCGGUGAAAUGCGUAGAUAUCUGGAGGAACACCGGUGGCGAAGGCGGCAUCCUGGACCGACACUGACGCUGAGGAGCGAAAGCCAGGGGAUAAACG
This 206-nucleotide ribosomal RNA is filed under the name uncultured bacterium. Its description in RNAcentral is "partial 16S ribosomal RNA". It matches the Rfam family "Bacterial small subunit ribosomal RNA", at positions 568 to 774 of the family's 1533-position model. The record is from RNAcentral.